RNAcentral lists this transfer RNA (76 nucleotides) under Gemmatimonadaceae bacterium. RNAcentral describes it as "tRNA-Thr". RNAcentral also lists the same sequence under 2 other names. The record is from RNAcentral. Lineage: Bacteria; Pseudomonadati; Gemmatimonadota; Gemmatimonadia; Gemmatimonadales; Gemmatimonadaceae.
GCCGACCCGGUGCUCCUGGUGGACACGCUCCCCUGGUACGGGAGAGAGGAGGGUUCGACUCCCUCGGUCGGCUCCA